RNAcentral lists this non-coding RNA (30 nucleotides) under Rattus norvegicus (Norway rat). The record is from RNAcentral. Lineage: Eukaryota; Metazoa; Chordata; Mammalia; Rodentia; Muridae.
AAAGCACCAAUUAUCACUUACCCUCCCGCC